Molecule: long non-coding RNA, 2153 nt
Filed under: Homo sapiens (human)
Lineage: Eukaryota; Metazoa; Chordata; Mammalia; Primates; Hominidae
Description: HSALNT0033118
Source: RNAcentral
GUGGGAUUUGCACACGAUAACGGCUUUCAGAGGUGGCUAGGACUUGGCCAGAAACCUUUCAGUUUACUGCAUAGUCUCUAUUGGAGCUUGGGAAAAUAUUUUCUGUGAACCUAGUUGGCAGCUUAGGUUUCCUUCUCCCCUGUUCCCAUGUGGAACUGAAGUCCAUUUACUAAGAUUUCAGCUAAACAAACUACAACCUAUUUUCCCAGUGUUUCCAAACCUGUCCCGAGGCAGAGAUGAUUGUAAAGAGCCCCUCAGGAGCACUUAUUUGUGGUUUCUAGGCUGAAGGCUGGCUGUGCAACUUUGGCAUUCUUGAUCUAUCACCUGUGACUGAAAGCUCCCAAACUGAUGCAAAACUUCUAACUACAUAGGAAAGAGAUGAAUUCAAUGGUGAUCACUUUCCUUUGGAUCUCUGCAAAACUACAUACCUACUCAACAUAUUUUUGGAUAUAAUUUCAGGUUUUGGUAUCAAGAUGAUAAAAUACCUAGGAAUACAGCUAAUCAGGGAGAUGAAAGAUCUCUACAAUGAGAAUUAUAAAACACUGCUCAAAGAAAUCGGACAUGACACAAACAAAUGGAAAGACAUCUCAUGCUCAUGAAUAGGAAGUAUCUAUAUCAUUAAAAUGGCUAUACUGCCCAAAGCAAUUAAUAGAUUCAAUGCUACUCCUAUCAAACUAGCAAGGACAUCCUUCACAGAACUAUAAAAAUAUUUUAAAAUUCACAUGAAACCAAAAAAGAGCCCAAAUAGCCAAGGCAAUUUUAAGCAAAAAGAACAAAGCUGGAGGCACCACAUUACCUGGCUUCAAACUAUACUGCAAGCCUGCAGUAACCAAAACAGCAUGGUUCUGGUACAAAAACAGGCACUCAGAUCAGUGGAACAGAAUAGAGAGCCCAGAAAUAAGGCUGUACAUCUACGAUCAUCUGAUCUUUAACAAGGCUGACAAAAACUAGCAAUGAGGAAAAGACUUCCUAUUCAAUAAAUGGUGCCUGGAUAGCUGGCUAGCCAUAUGCAGAAAAUUGAAGCUGGACCCCUUCUUUACACCAUACACAAAAGUCAACUCAAGACAGAUUAAAGACUUAAAUGUAAAACCCAAAACUAUAAACACCCUGGAAGAUAACUUAGGCAAUACCAUCCUGGACAAAGGAACUGGCAAAGAUUUCAUGGCAAAGACACCAGAAGCAAUUGCAACAAAAGCAAAAAUUGAAAAAUAGGAUCUAAUUAAACUAAAGGCCUUCUGCACCGCAAAAGAAACUAUCAAUAGAGUAAACAGACAACCUACAGCGUUGGAAAAAGUUUUUGCAAACUAUGCAUCUGACAAAGGUCUAAUAUCCAGCAUCUAUAAGGAACUUAAAUUUAUAAGAGAAAAACAAACAACACCAUUAAAAAGUGGGCAAAGGACAUGAACAGACACUUGUCAAAAGAAGACAUACAUGUGGCUGACAAACAUUACAAAAGCUUAAUAUCACUGAUCGUUAGAGAAAUGCAAAUCAAAACCACAAUGAGGUAUCAUCACACAGCAGUCAGAUGGUUAUUAUUAAAGUAAAAAAUAACAGAUGCUGGUGAGGUUGCAGAGAAAAGUGAACACUUAUACAUUGUUGGUGGAAGUGUAAAUUAGUUCAGUCAUCGUGGAAAGCAGUAUAGUGAUUCCUCAAAGAGCUAAAAGCAGAAGUACCAUUUGACCCAGCAAUCUCAUUACUGGGUAUAUACCCACCUGAAUACAAAUUAUUCUACCAUAAUGACACAUGCACAUGCAGCACUAUUCACAACAGGAAAGACAUAGAAUCAACCUAAAUGCCCAUCAAUGACAGAUUGGAUAAAGAAAAUGUGGUACAUAUACACCAUGGAAUACUAUGCAGCCAUAAAAAAACCAAGAUCAUAUCUUUUGCAGGAACAUGGAAGGAGCUAAAGGCUAUUAUCCUUAGCAAACUAACACAGGAACAGAAAAUCAAAUACUGCAUGUUUUUACUUGUAAGUGGGAGCUAAAUGGUAAUAAUUUAUGAACACGAAGGGAAAACAGACACUGGGGUCUAAUGAUGAGGGAGGGUGGGAGGAGGGAGAGAAGCAGAAAAGAUAACUAUUGGACACUGGGUGUAAUACCUGGAUGAUUAAAUAAUAUAUACAACAAACCACUGUGACAUGUGUUUACCUAUGU